Molecule: ribosomal RNA, 253 nt
Filed under: uncultured bacterium
Lineage: Bacteria
Description: partial 16S ribosomal RNA
Rfam family: Bacterial small subunit ribosomal RNA
Source: RNAcentral
UACGUAGGGUGCGAGCGUUGUCCGGAAUUAUUGGGCGUAAAGGGCUCGUAGGCGGCCAACUAGGUCAGACGUGAAAUCCCCAGGCUCAACCUGGGAACUGCGUCUGAUACUGGAUGGCUUGAAUCCGGGAGAGGGAUGCAGAAUUCCAGGUGUAGCGGUGAAAUGCGUAGAUAUCUGGAGGAAUACCGGUGGCGAAGGCGGCAUCCUGGACCGGCAUUGACGCUGAGGAGCGAAAGCCAGGGGAGCAAACGGG